RNAcentral lists this ribosomal RNA (798 nucleotides) under uncultured Glomeromycotina. RNAcentral describes it as "SSU rRNA". It matches the Rfam family "Eukaryotic small subunit ribosomal RNA", at positions 314 to 1114 of the family's 1831-position model. The record is from RNAcentral. Lineage: Eukaryota; Fungi; Glomeromycota.
AUCAACUUUCGAUGGUAGGAUAGAGGCCUACCAUGGUGGUAACGGGUAACGGGGUGUUAGGGCACGACACCGGAGAGGGAGCCUGAGAAACGGCUACCACAUCCAAGGAUGGCAGCAGGCGCGCAAAUUACCCAAUCCCGACACGGGGAGGUAGUGACAAUAAAUAACAAUACGGGGUUCUUUCGGAUUUCGUAAUUGGAAUGAGUACAAUUUAAAUCUCUUAACGAGGAACAAUUGGAGGGCAAGUCUGGUGCCAGCAGCCGCGGUAAUUCCAGCUCCAAUAGCGUAUAUUAAAGUUGCUGCAGUUAAAAAGCUCGUAGUUGAAUUUCGGGACCGAUAUAUCGGUCGUGCCUCGGUACGUACUGGUAUUUUCGGUUUCUCCCUUCUGACGAACCUUGAUGUCAUUAAUUUGGUGUCUUGGGGAAUCAGGACUGUUACUUUGAAAAAAUUAGAGUGUUUAAAGCAGGCUCACGCUUGAAUACAUUAGCAUGGAAUAAUGAAAUAGGACGUUUGAUUCUAUUUUGUUGGUUUCUAGGAUCGACGUAAUGAUUAAUAGGGAUAGUUGGGGGCAUUAGUAUUCAAUUGUCAGAGGUGAAAUUCUUGGAUUUAUUGAAGACUAACUACUGCGAAAGCAUUUGCCAAGGAUGUUUUCAUUAAUCAAGAACGAAAGUUAGGGGAUCGAAGACGAUCAGAUACCGUCGUAGUCUUAACCAUAAACUAUGCCGACUAGGGAUCGGAUGAUGUUAAUUUUUUAAUGACUCAUUCGGCGCCUUACGGGAAACCAAAGUGUUUGGGUUC